RNAcentral lists this long non-coding RNA (230 nucleotides) under Ictidomys tridecemlineatus (thirteen-lined ground squirrel). RNAcentral describes it as "lncRNA (ENSSTOG00000029688.1)". Lineage: Eukaryota; Metazoa; Chordata; Mammalia; Rodentia; Sciuridae. The record is from RNAcentral.
CUGCAAACCUGUGUCAGUUGUGGACAUUAGAAAUCCCAGGAUCCCAGGAGAGCCUGUGCUGGCCUGAAGGUUCCUGGAUCCUGCCUACUUUUAACCCAUUGUUUAACUGACCUGAUGAUGGAACAGAAAUGAGAAAUUGGUCCUGGGCCUUGUUGCUUCUAAGGGAAUGAAGAAGACAUGGAAUAGUAAUAAUGUAGUAAACUGCAGCUUCUAGCAUCAUAAUUGAUAAA